This 854-nucleotide ribosomal RNA is filed under the name Viridibacillus sp. RNAcentral describes it as "bacterial SSU rRNA". It matches the Rfam family "Bacterial small subunit ribosomal RNA", at positions 41 to 873 of the family's 1533-position model. Lineage: Bacteria; Bacillati; Bacillota; Bacilli; Caryophanales; Caryophanaceae. The record is from RNAcentral.
GGCGUGCUAAUACAUGCAAGUCGAGCGAAUGAUGAAGAAGCUUGCUUCUUCUGAUUUAGCGGCGGACGGGUGAGUAACACGUGGGCAACCUACCUAGUAGAUUGGGAUAACUCCGGGAAACCGGGGCUAAUACCGAAUAAUUCAUUUCACCUCAUGGUGAGAUGCUGAAAGGCGGUUUCGGCUGUCACUACUAGAUGGGCCCGCGGUGCAUUAGCUAGUUGGUGGGGUAAUGGCCUACCAAGGCAACGAUGCAUAGCCGACCUGAGAGGGUGAUCGGCCACAUUGGGACUGAGACACGGCCCAAACUCCUACGGGAGGCAGCAGUAGGGAAUCUUCCACAAUGGACGAAAGUCUGAUGGAGCAACGCCGCGUGAGUGAUGAAGGUUUUCGGAUCGUAAAACUCUGUUGUAAGGGAAGAACAAGUACGUUAGUAACUGAACGUACCUUGACGGUACCUUAUUAGAAAGCCACGGCUAACUACGUGCCAGCAGCCGCGGUAAUACGUAGGUGGCAAGCGUUGUCCGGAUUUAUUGGGCGUAAAGCGCGCGCAGGUGGUUUCUUAAGUCUGAUGUGAAAGCCCACGGCUCAACCGUGGAGGGUCAUUGGAAACUGGGAGACUUGAGUGCAGAAGAGGAAAGUGGAAUUCCAAGUGUAGCGGUGAAAUGCGUAGAGAUUUGGAGGAACACCAGUGGCGAAGGCGACUUUCUGGUCUGUAACUGACACUGAGGCGCGAAAGCGUGGGGAGCAAACAGGAUUAGAUACCCUGGUAGUCCACGCCGUAAACGAUGAGUGCUAAGUGUUAGGGGGUUUCCGCCCCUUAGUGCUGCAGCUAACGCAUUAAGCACUCCGUCCUG